RNAcentral lists this transfer RNA (84 nucleotides) under Thermoplasmata archaeon. RNAcentral's name for it is "tRNA-Leu". It matches the Rfam family "tRNA". Rfam says of the family: Transfer RNA (tRNA) molecules are approximately 80 nucleotides in length. Their secondary structure includes four short double-helical elements and three loops (D, anti-codon, and T loops). The record is from RNAcentral. RNAcentral also lists the same sequence under 3 other names. Lineage: Archaea; Methanobacteriati; Thermoplasmatota; Thermoplasmata.
GCGGAGGUUACCGAGCCUGGUCAAAGGUGCGAGAUUCAGGGUCUCGUCCUUAGUGGUUCGCCGGUUCAAAUCCGGCCCUCCGCA